This 370-nucleotide ribosomal RNA is filed under the name uncultured organism. Its description in RNAcentral is "bacterial SSU rRNA". It matches the Rfam family "Bacterial small subunit ribosomal RNA", at positions 526 to 896 of the family's 1533-position model. The record is from RNAcentral.
CGUAGGGUGCAAGCGUUAAUCGAAAUUACUGGGCGUAAAGCGUGCGCAGGCGGUGAUGUAAGACAGUUGUGAAAUCCCCGGGCUCAACCUGGGAACUGCAUCUGUGACUGCAUUGCUGGAGUACGGCAGAGGGGGAUGGAAUUCCGCGUGUAGCAGUGAAAUGCGUAGAUAUGCGGAGGAACACCGAUGGCGAAGGCAAUCCCCUGGGCCUGUACUGACGCUCAUGCACGAAAGCGUGGGGAGCAAACAGGAUUAGAUACCCUGGUAGUCCACGCCCUAAACGAUGUCAACUGGUUGUUGGGUCUUCACUGACUCAGUAACGAAGCUAACGCGUGAAGUUGACCGCCUGGGGAGUACGGCCGCAAGGUUG